Molecule: long non-coding RNA, 3321 nt
Organism: Oncorhynchus keta (chum salmon)
Lineage: Eukaryota; Metazoa; Chordata; Actinopteri; Salmoniformes; Salmonidae
Exons: 5
Source: RefSeq, a predicted model, not a curated record
UCCAGUUUCAAUAGAUUCCCUCUCUCUCUCCUUCGGUGGUAGGCCUAUUCUAGCACCCUAUUUCAUCCGAAUUAUCUUAAUUUAAAUCUGCCACACCAAAACCCGAAGGUGGAUUGUGCAAUACUAGGCCUAGCUCAGUAUGUCGUCAUCCAAUAACAUUCAUAUAGAGUUAAUGGGGGGAAAUGCAUCUAAUAAACACAAAUAAUACUGUUGUAAUAACAUUGUCAUAAUGCUUGCUUCUAUAAGGUGUUUUUAAGGGCUACAUGGUUUGGGUAAGAGGUGUUUAGCAAUUUCUGUUAGCUAAUUUUGCAUAAAACACACACACACACACACACACACAAACACACACACAGGUAUAAACCUGCGUAAAAGUCACCAAACGUACUUAAAGCCCAUGCAAACAAAUUGUAGCCUACCCGUUGCCCUAAGUUUGGGGUAAUAUUUCGAUAUUUUUCUUAUAUAGUGUAAUAACCAGGCGGUAAUAUUAUCUCAAGUAGCCUAUAGCCUAAAAAUUAAUAGAAAAAAACGCUUUCUCACAUAAUGGCAUACGCGCAAAGCAUGCUUAACUCACACGUGCAUACUCACUCUUGUACCAGAUACACACCCGCUCGCGCGCGCGCGCACACACACACACACACACACACACACACACACACACACACACACACACACACGUCCCCUCUAGCCUGUCUGUGAUUGGUCACUCGGCCGUUUGCUGCUGGAGUGACGUCACUGCAGAAGAGAACUGUCAGAGGAAGAAGCAUUUAUAGAAAAAACUCUAUGCUCUCAGGGUAGUGAGAGCAACCGCGGCACGGAGGAGAGCUUCAAUGGAUAAACUAACGGGCUACGGGAGGAUCGCGCUUUGAUUUAUAAUCCGUAGAGAGAUACCAUCUCUUAUGCCAUUCACGAGACACAAGUGAAAUAAUGGUUAAGGGAUAACACAACCUCGGAAAUAAACCACCAAUUCGACAUGGAUCGUUCCAAAACAGAGGUUUGAGCAUCGACAGCGCCUUUUAGAAACCGUAUGCCUCCGCCUGCUUCGAACGGCGAAUUUGGGAUGAGAAGCAUUUAUCGUUUUCUGUACAGACACAUGUCCUCUCUUAAUAGGUAAAUAAUCUGAUUUCAUUUCCUCGGUAAAACCUAUUCUAUAUGCUAGCCAUAUGCUUCUCAUCCUUUACCGGAACCCUUACUGUUGACUUCCACGCGGAUACGCAGCCCUCCAUUGGAUGGCAAAAGAACCAGGACAAAUUUCCUCGCAUUGAAAAGUGGAACCCAUACGAUACUCUGGCAGUAUGUACGAGGAGGAGUCGGUUGCUAUCUUUGGUUAUCUAGCUGUAUGAGUGUUACUCGGCCGUCAUAAAGCUAGCUAACCGAAUGUAGGAAUGUCCUCCAAACCUGCGACUCGGACAGGAAAAAAUGGUGUCUAGGAGUAAAGACACAAAAUAACAUAAUUGAUAUGCAAUUACAGGCCAAUACCUCAUUGCCUUUCCGGUUGAUCCAGUGCCCUUGUCACUGCAGUGGCUGCCUGAGAUACACCCACAAACUCUGCAGUAUGAACAGCAAACUGUCUACUAAAUGUGACUGCCAGCCAUUCACACCAGGUCUGGAUUGAGCAAGGGGAAAGUGGCACAGUCGUCACAAAAAAAAACAGAAAGCAGGAGGGGAAGAAAAAGGCCAACCCCCUUGUCCCUCUUCCCUUAAAUCUCCAUCACCGGAAGCCUUUGGUGCCAUCUGUGCCCCUGGAGAAAAGGACGGGCGAGAUGCCUCCACCCUGUGCCAACGGGGACAAAGGAGCUGCCAGUUAGAGCGGCCCCCCUCGCAGGCAGCCAGAGGACUCUGUGUUACUGACUGGGGCUGAGCUACGGAAGCCAUCUUGAUGGAGAGUCUUGCUGCUGCUCCUAAAAUGGCUGUGUUGGCAUGAGGUCCUGCAGGUGUUGACAACCUCUAGGGGAAGACUUCCAUCAGCCCUGAGCCCUAAGCCCUGAGCCCUGAGCCCUGGGCCCUGGGCCCUGAACCCUGAGCCCUGGGCCCUGAACCCUGAGCCCUGGGCCCUGAACCCUGAGCCCUGGGCCCUGAACCCUGAGCCCUGGGCCCUGAACCCUGAGCCCUGGGCCCUUCCUCAUUGGCAUCCUCUCCAGUCAAACACUGAGAAAUGAGGGCACUGAAGAAUCCCCCCUAAAGUUAACAGACAUUUGCUUGUAGAAAUUUACUGUAAGGACAAUGUAUGGAGAUAUUUACUGUAAGGACAAUGUAUGGAGAUAUUUACUGUAAGGACAAUGUUUGGAGAUAUCUACUGUAAGGACAAUGUAUGGAGAUAUUUACUGUAAGGACAAUGUUUGGAGAUAUCUACUGUAAGGACAAUGUAUGGAGAUAUUUACUGUAAGGACAAUGUUUGGAGAUAUCUACUGUAAGGACAAUGUAUGGAGAUAUUUACUGUAAGGACAAUGUUUGGAGAUAUUUACUGUAAGGACAAUGUUUGGAGAUAUUUACUGUAAGGACAAUGUUUGGAGAUAUUUACUGUAAGGACAAUGUUUGGAGAUAUUUGAAGACAUUGUUUGCAGAAGUUGUGCACAGACUAUCUGAUGAUAUAUUGCACGGCUGAGAGUGUAUAGUUUCAACAUAACUUUUAACAUUACAGCAGAAUGUAAAACAAUGUGUGUAGGAUGUGAAAUCAAAAGGGAUGAGAUCAACAUGUGUUCAUACCUUAAUUUAAGUACAGGUGUGUGUGUGUGGUGCGUGUGUAGUCCCUACUGUACUUUUAGAGUACUCUGGAGUGUACUGGGCUUCAGAGAAGCACUACAGUGCCCUAAUGUGUGGGCUGUUUACAAGAGAAGCUCUCUGGAUGUCUAUCCUCUGUCAUGUGCAAUUAGUUACUUUAUGAAUAGAACUGACUACUCUAUGCAAAUAAAUGUGAAUGACUCACCCUCUGGCUGUAUUGCAAAUGUUGUUUGACUGUCACAGUGAAAAGAAAGACAUUGUUUGGUGAAGAUUCCAUCCAUUUACUGUAUAUCCAUCAAAUGCUGCAUUUUUCCUAUUACAAAUAUUAUCUGCAUGUGGUCAUAAUGAUCAGGGAAUGUUCUACAUGAAAUGUGUUAGAUACAGUAUUGAAACAGUCCGAUUAAUAGCUGUCUCAUUGCCUGAUUUUUAUUAUUAUCCUUAUUCAGAGAGAUAGACCGUUUUGAACAUACCUGCAAUAAAGAAAGGGACACAUACUUGUACACAAACGUCUUACAAAACAUGUUGUUGUAAUUGAGUUCUGACUUGUCAUGACUUCUGGGCUGUUUGAAUUGAAUGUGUAUACAGAAUAAAUAAUACAACAGA